CACGUAGGAGGCGAGCGUUAUCCGGAUUUACUGGGUGUAAAGCGCGUGCAGGCGGCGCGGAAAGUUGGAUGUGAAAGCUCCUGGCUUAACUGGGAGAGGUCGUUCAAUACUUCCGUGCUUGAGUAUGGGAGAGGGAGGUGGAAUUCCGGGUGUAGUGGUGAAAUGCGUAGAUAUCCGGAGGAACACCAGUGGCGAAGGCGGCCUCCUGGCCCAUUACUGACGCUCAGACGCGAAAGCUAGGGUAGCAAACGGGAUUAGAGACC
RNAcentral lists this ribosomal RNA (263 nucleotides) under uncultured bacterium. RNAcentral describes it as "partial 16S ribosomal RNA". It matches the Rfam family "Bacterial small subunit ribosomal RNA", at positions 524 to 786 of the family's 1533-position model. The record is from RNAcentral.